RNAcentral lists this transfer RNA (61 nucleotides) under Penicillidia dufourii. Its description in RNAcentral is "tRNA-Leu". The record is from RNAcentral. Lineage: Eukaryota; Metazoa; Arthropoda; Insecta; Diptera; Nycteribiidae.
ACUAUUUUGGCAGAUUAGUGCUAUAAAUUUAGAAUUUAUAUAUGUAUAUUUACAAAUAGUA